Molecule: ribosomal RNA, 910 nt
Filed under: uncultured Zetaproteobacteria bacterium
Lineage: Bacteria; Pseudomonadati; Pseudomonadota; Candidatius Mariprofundia
Description: bacterial SSU rRNA
Rfam family: Bacterial small subunit ribosomal RNA
Source: RNAcentral
ACUGCAAAARWMRACGACGCYSGCGGCGUGYCUWACACAUGCAAGUUCGAACGGUAACAGGGACUUCGGUCCGCUGACGAGUGGCGCACGGGUGAGUAACGCGUGGAUAUCUGCCUAUUAGUGGGGGACAACUACGGGAAACCGUAGCUAAUACCGCAUACGCACUACGGUGGAAAGCGGGGGAUCUUCGGACCUCGCGCUGAUAGAUGAGUCCGCGUCAGAUUAGCUUGUUGGUGGGGUAAAGGCCUACCAAGGCGAUGAUCUGUAACUGGUUUGAGAGGAUGAUCAGUCACACUGGAACUGAGACACGGUCCAGACUCCUACGGGAGGCAGCAGUGGGGAAUAUUGCACAAUGGGCGCAAGCCUGAUGCAGCGACGCCGCGUGCGGGAAGAAGGCCUUCGGGUUGUAAACCGCUUUCAAUUGGGAAGAAGAGAUGAGGUUUAAUACGCCUCUGAUUUGACGGUACCUUUAGAAGAAGCACCGGCUAAUUUCGUGCCAGCAGCCGCGGUAAUACGAAAGGUGCAAGCGUUGUUCGGAUUUACUGGGCGUAAAGAGAUCGUAGGUGGUUUGUUAAGUCGGAUGUGAAAUCCCGGGGCUCAACCCCGGAACUGCAUUCGAUACUGGCAGGCUAGAGUUCGGGAGGGGUAAGCGGAAUUCCGUGUGUAGCAGUGAAAUGCGUAGAUAUACGGAGGAACACCUGAGGCGAAGGCGGCUUACUGGACCGAUACUGACACUGAGGAUCGAAAGCGUGGGUAGCAAACAGGAUUAGAUACCCUGGUAGUCCACGCCCUAAACGAUGUCAACUAGCCGUUGCGGGUAUCGACCCCUGCAGUGGCGAAGCUAACGCGAUAAAGKUGACCGCYKGGGGGGAGAUACGGUCGCAAGAUAKMMAAUCUAUAAAGUGAUGCU